This 253-nucleotide ribosomal RNA is filed under the name uncultured bacterium. Its description in RNAcentral is "partial 16S ribosomal RNA". It matches the Rfam family "Bacterial small subunit ribosomal RNA", at positions 524 to 776 of the family's 1533-position model. The record is from RNAcentral.
UACGUAGGGUGCAAGCGUUGUCCGGAAUUAUUGGGCGUAAAGAGCUCGUAGGCGGUCUGUCGCGUCGGCUGUGAAAACUCGGGGCUCAACCCCGAGCCUGCAGUCGAUACGGGCAGACUAGAGUGCUGUAGGGGAGACUGGAAUUCCUGGUGUAGCGGUGAAAUGCGCAGAUAUCAGGAGGAACACCGGUGGCGAAGGCGGCUCACUGGCCCGGUACUGACGCUGAGGUGCGAAAGCGUGGGGAUCAAACAGG